Molecule: unclassified non-coding RNA, 1515 nt
Filed under: Leishmania donovani
Lineage: Eukaryota; Euglenozoa; Kinetoplastea; Trypanosomatida; Trypanosomatidae
Description: gene:LdHU3.01.0360(CDS-product:poly(A)_export_pro tein_putative)
Source: RNAcentral
CACGCAUACACGCACACAAAUAAAAGAUAGGGUUUACAAAAGCCCUAUUCGUGUUUUUCAAUUAUAGAAUUCCGAGUGCUGUUAGUGAAACCAUGGCACAGUCUGUUUCCAUUGGUGCCGACCACAGGCUGGAGGCUACCACCUCAGACUGCGUCAGUUCCGUUCGCUUUUCCCCAAAAGAAUGCCCAAUGCUCAUGACCGGCGUUGCCUCGUGGGACGGGACUUGCUCUAUUUGGCAGGUUGCGCGGAACCCUGCUGGGGCGGUCAUAUCUCAGCCAACUUGGACAACAACACACGACAGUCCUUUACUUACUAUGUCCUUGUCUGCGGACGGGCGCGUCUUUUUCGGAGGAUGCUCAAAGACUGCGGUUAUGUGGGACCUGAACUCAAAUCAGAAGGCUGUCGUCGCAUCACAUGAUUUGCCAAUUAGCUGCCUCGAUUUCCUGUCUCUUCCUCAGACCAUGAGCCAAAUGCUCAUCACCGGAAGCUGGGACGGCAAGCUGCGCUGGUGGGACCUGAGGCAGCAAAGCUACGUGAGGGAGGAAAACCUGGGUGAGCCUGUGUUCGCGCUCGAUGCGCAAAAAACGGUGCCGAUGAUGGCUGCCGCAACAGGUCGACUGGCUCACGUGUAUGACGUGCAACAAAUGCAGAAGGUCAACGAACUCAAGCUUCCCGACGUCAUGAAAUUCAACCUCCGCUGCAUCACAUGCGCUCCACAGUACGACGGUGUCGGAGUCGGAUCCUCGGAAGGACGCGUCUCCUUUAUCAGCAUGAAGGACGCGCCAGGGUGCACAUUCAAGGCUCACAUUACCACAGAAAAGUCUCACUACAUUCUGAGCCAGACCAAUUUUUGCGUGCAUCACCCUACGUUGCCACUCCUCCUGUCCGGUGGCGGCGAUGGUAAUUUGACAGUUAUCAACCGCGCCGAUCGAAAAGUCAUAAAAACGCUUCAAUGCGAGCAAAAAGUAGGCACACAAGCAAUUCCAAUCUCAGCUGGCGACAUAAGCGCAGAUGGGUCUCUUGUUGCCUAUGCGCAUAGCUAUGACUGGGCCAUGGGGAAGAGUGGUUACAGAAACCAACCUACCUCGGUGCACAUUCGGCCGCUAUUGUGACAGGCUCCUUUCACACUUCCCUUGGAGCUGCAAUGUGGUCUCACUAGCUUUCAAUUCACUGUCUGAAUUUUUUCCGUUCUUCUGUGUAUACGGUGCAGGCGGUUGAUUGUGUUUCGUAACGCUUGGCAUUUUCGACUCUGAGAUUUCAGACCUCCGUCGUCGAGAAAAAAAAAACUCUUUUCUUGCGUCGCUAGUGGCCCUCCUUGCCCCUCCAAUCCGGGGUGCACGCCGGAAAACAAGCCUCGUUCAUGGCAGAUAGCUCCCUAUAUUUCACGUCCUCGGAAGUGUAUCUCACUUCCCAUUUUCUCCACAUGAUCUCUCUUCCCUCACUCUCUCUCAUUACACGAAUGUGUCAUUUUUGAAUUGGGAACCUUUUUUUUUUUUGCCACACACAUACGCUUAG